UAAUACAAAAUUUGCCGUGCUUGAGGUGAGAUCGAGGGUGAAUGAGUUUCGAUCGGUUUUUGGAAAACCGAUUCGGUAUAUUAUAGAGUAAGAGUAAUUGUGAAUGUUAACAAUUCCUAUCAUAUGACAAAACAUGCAGUCAUCUAAUGCGAAAAAAUCAUGGACACAAAGGAAUCCUACCUACGCUAUCAUGAUACCAUUAAUCAUAGGACUUCACAUAGGUUGGUUUACACUACAACGACAUUAUGUACCAGUGGUUGAAAGACAUGAUCAUCCCUUAAUUAAAUUGUAUAAGAAAUAUAUUACAUAAAAAUGUAAUAUAUAUGAAUCCUGUUUGAAUUGUUAUUUAUAAUGUUGUUUAUUAUCUCUCUAAAUUAUAUUGUUAAAUAAUA
Long non-coding RNA from Cataglyphis hispanica, 392 nucleotides. RefSeq lists it as uncharacterized. The record is from RefSeq and is a predicted model, not a curated record. NCBI's taxonomy places the organism in Eukaryota, Metazoa, Arthropoda, Insecta, Hymenoptera, Formicidae. The transcript has 2 exons.